UAGUGGCAGACGGGUGAGUAAUGUAUAGGAAUCUACCUAGUAGUACGGAAUAAUUGUUGGAAACGGCAACUAAURCCGUAUACGCCCUACGGGGGAAARAUUUAUUGCUAUUAGAUGAGCCUAUAUUAGAUUAGCUAGUUGGUAGGGUAAUGGCCUACCAAGGCAAUGAUCUAUAGCUGAUCUGAGAGGAUGAUCAGCCACACUGGAACUGAGAUACGGUCCAGACUCCUACGGGAGGCAGCAGUGGGGAAUAUUGGACAAUGGGCGGAAGCCUGAUCCAGCCAUGCCGCAUAAGUGAAGAAGGCCUUUGGGUUGUAAAGCUCUUUUAGUGGGAAAGAUAAUGACGGUACUCACAGAAGAAGUCCUGGCUAACUCCGUGCCAGCAGCCGCGGUAAUACGGAGAGGGCUAGCGUUAUUCGGAAUUAUUGGGCGUAAAGAGCGCGUAGGCUGGUUAGUAAGUUAAAAGUGAAAUCCCAAGGCUUAACUUUGGAAUUGCUUUUAAAACUGCUAAUCUAGAGAUUGAAAGAGGAUAGAGGAAUUCCUAGUGUAGAGGUGAAAUUCGUAAAUAUUAGGAGGAACACCAGUGGCGAAGGCGUCUAUCUGGUUCAAAUCUGA
This 615-nucleotide ribosomal RNA is filed under the name Wolbachia endosymbiont of Syringophilopsis turdus. RNAcentral describes it as "bacterial SSU rRNA". It matches the Rfam family "Bacterial small subunit ribosomal RNA", at positions 93 to 743 of the family's 1533-position model. Lineage: Bacteria; Pseudomonadati; Pseudomonadota; Alphaproteobacteria; Rickettsiales; Anaplasmataceae. The record is from RNAcentral.